This 21-nucleotide microRNA is filed under the name Glycine max (soybean). Its description in RNAcentral is "gma-miR482e". Its record names the gene gma-miR482e. The record is from miRBase by way of RNAcentral. Lineage: Eukaryota; Viridiplantae; Streptophyta; Magnoliopsida; Fabales; Fabaceae.
UAUGGGGGGAUUGGGAAGGAA